RNAcentral lists this ribosomal RNA (468 nucleotides) under uncultured bacterium. Its description in RNAcentral is "partial 16S ribosomal RNA". It matches the Rfam family "Bacterial small subunit ribosomal RNA", at positions 28 to 507 of the family's 1533-position model. The record is from RNAcentral.
GACGAACGCUGGCGGCGUGCUUAACACAUGCAAGUCGAACGGAAAGGCCCUGCUUUUGUGGGGUGCUCGAGUGGCGAACGGGUGAGUAACACGUGAGUAACCUGCCCUUGACUUUGGGAUAACUUCAGGAAACUGGGGCUAAUACCGGAUAGGAGCUCCUGCUGCAUGGUGGGGGUUGGAAAGUUUCGGCGGUUGGGGAUGGACUCGCGGCUUAUCAGCUUGUUGGUGGGGUAGUGGCUUACCAAGGCUUUGACGGGUAGCCGGCCUGAGAGGGUGACCGGCCACAUUGGGACUGAGAUACGGCCCAGACUCCUACGGGAGGCAGCAGUGGGGAAUAUUGCACAAUGGGCGGAAGCCUGAUGCAGCAACGCCGCGUGCGGGAUGACGGCCUCCGGGUUGUAAACCGCUUUCGCCUGUGACGAAGUGUGAGUGACGGUAAUGGGUAAAGAAGCACCGGCUAACUACGUG